GAAAUUCUUUUUAAACUUAAAACUUGUUAGAAGAAAAAGGGAAAAGCCUCUUCCCUGGGAUCCACUGGCCCUCAGCUGGAGCUUUCAGCAGGCAGCAGAGGCAGCAGCUGUGCACCAGAGAGGUGGAAAGGGGAAGCCACCUCUUCCCCUGGGGCCACUGCGGAACUGCACAAGCCCCAUCAAACCUAAAAAGCCACAGGAAGACUCAGGACUCAGGAGCAACUACUGCUUGCAAGGAAAUCUCCAAGGGCAGAAGUUCGACUGAAAGUGCUUUUUUUCCUCUGCCUCUUGUGUUGUUCUUGUUCACAGUUCUCUGAUCCUGUGAUCUAAGUUUUACAAUAAACUUUCCCUUUACAGUGUGUA
Molecule: long non-coding RNA, 363 nt
Organism: Parus major (Great Tit)
Lineage: Eukaryota; Metazoa; Chordata; Aves; Passeriformes; Paridae
Exons: 2
Source: RefSeq, a predicted model, not a curated record